CUCUUUCUUUCUUUCCUAUUCUCUUUCUUCACUUUUCACAUCGCUGCCCCCAAGACUUCACUUUUAUGCUAGAAACAAAUACAAACACACACAAGCCUUAUUCUCUCUCAUCAGAACAACCGAUCUCUCUCUUCUCAUUCCUCAUUCUUCAGAUCUAUUCAUCUUCUACUUUUGAUUCUCAAACACCUUGCUUUUUUUUUUAGAUUGGACAUUACGUGUUUGAUUUUAACGAAUCAUACUUCUGUUUGUUAGGUUAUUCAAGGGUCGUCUUUUGCUUUCUAGCUGAGUUCUUCGUCAACUGAAGAUAUGAAGGUUUCUAGGAAUCUUAAUGAAGAUAAGUUUAUGGGUUUCAAUGUUUUGUAGAAAAAUGUGAAAAAAGGUAUGUUAGGGUUCAAGAACGGGAAUGUUAGGGUUUUGAUUUUGUUGGUGUUGAUAAUGAACAGGGGAUAAUUUGUGGGUACUUUUUUUAGAAUAGAAAAUUGGUUUGAUGAUUUGAGUGAUGAUAUAUGAUUUUCUAGGUAUCAUGUUUAUAACACCUACAUCUCUAAAAGUAUGUACUGGUUUUGAAUUGAAGAAUUAAUUGUUGUUACAAAUAAUUUUUUAACUGAGAUUGAUGUUGUACCUAUAAUCAGUGUUCUGUUUUUGUUUUGAACUUACAUUGUUUGUAAUAUAUAUCAUUUGGGUUGAAUAUUUAUUGGAUUUUUUCUAUUAUUUUCAGGUUCAAUCAUUUGGUCCUGGUUUGAACUCAAAUUUGUAUGUGUAUAAGCACUAUGUGAUUUUGAAGUUCUUGAAGAUCUAGAUGUUUUGGAAGUGAAGGAGAAAGAAAAGGUGGUGAGACAUAUGUGGGAUAUGUACAAUCGCAGUCAUAGCAACUUCGUUGGAUUACCUCAAUUUUGGUUAGAAGCUUUUGAAGCAGCUUAUGAGACUUGGUCAGUGAUGCUCCUGUUGUUCGAGAGACUGCAGUUUCAGAAAUUGCCUAGAUGUCACUGGCAUAUGUAGUUUCAUAUGCUGUUAAUUACUGCAGCAGCUACUUCUAAUGUACAAGCAAAGGUUCUAAAUUCGGGGCUUCCUUGAAAUGUGAUGAUUGUCAUGGAACUGAAUAAUGAAAGCGUAGAUGAUGCAUUGACAAUUGAAGAUUGGAAUGUUGUUGAGGCCUACGACAUAACCUCCGGCCAUAUCCCUCUGCCUGCUACCCCAUCUGCUGCCUCGAUAAUUGCUUCCCCCAAAGUCUACCGACGACUCCCUACUGCCGACAACGCCAUCCACCGCCACUAAGAGAUUUACACCUCAAGUUUCUACUAAAGACACACUUUCAACUGACUUUUGUGAAGAACAAGAUUCUUCAACAAAAUUGAGGAAAAUUAUCAAGUUGGAGAAUAGUCCUCAACCAAUGCUUAACCAUUAUUAUUGUACUAUCUAUGUGAUUCACUUUUGUGCUUAACAACCAUGGAUAAUUAUUUUAAGAUGUAUUGCUAAUUUCCUGUCGUAUUUCGGUUUUGCCUAACGGCUUUUUGGAACAACCUCUGCAUAUUU
Vicia villosa (hairy vetch) is the source of this 1533-nucleotide long non-coding RNA. RefSeq lists it as uncharacterized. NCBI's taxonomy places the organism in Eukaryota, Viridiplantae, Streptophyta, Magnoliopsida, Fabales, Fabaceae. The record is from RefSeq and is a predicted model, not a curated record. The transcript is spliced from 4 exons.